RNAcentral lists this ribosomal RNA (274 nucleotides) under uncultured bacterium. Its description in RNAcentral is "partial 16S ribosomal RNA". It matches the Rfam family "Bacterial small subunit ribosomal RNA", at positions 523 to 796 of the family's 1533-position model. The record is from RNAcentral.
AUACGGAGGGUGCAAGCGUUGUUCGGAAUUACUGGGCGUAAAGCGCGCGUAGGCGGUCUGUUAUGUCGGAUGUGAAAGUCCUCGGCUCAACCGGGGAAGUGCAUUUGAAACUGGCAGACUUGAGUACUGGAGGGGGUGGUGGAAUUCCCGGUGUAGAGGUGAAAUUCGUAGAUAUCGGGAGGAAUACCGGUGGCGAAGGCGACCACCUGGCCAGAUACUGACGCUGAGGUGCGAAAGCGUGGGGAGCAAACAGGAUUAGAAACCCCGGUAGUCC